GUGCCAGCCGCCGCGGUAAUACCGGCAGUUCGAGUGAUGGCCGAUCUUAUUGGGCCUAAAGCGUUCGUAGCUGGCCAGUCAAGUCUGUCGGGAAACCUGCCCGCUCAACGGGCAGUCGUCCGGCGGAAACUGAUUGGCUUGGGACCGGGAGACUCGAGAAGUACGUCCGGGGUAGGAGUGAAAUCCUGUAAUCCUGGACGGACUACCGAUGGCGAAAGCAUCUCGAGAGAACGGAUCCGACAGUGAGGGACGAAAGCUGGGGUCUCGAACCGGAUUAGAAACCCGGGUAGUCC
Molecule: ribosomal RNA, 293 nt
Filed under: uncultured bacterium
Lineage: Bacteria
Description: partial 16S ribosomal RNA
Rfam family: Archaeal small subunit ribosomal RNA
Source: RNAcentral